RNAcentral lists this long non-coding RNA (608 nucleotides) under Populus tremula. Its description in RNAcentral is "long non-coding RNA (PTRE_LNC001890)". The record is from RNAcentral. Lineage: Eukaryota; Viridiplantae; Streptophyta; Magnoliopsida; Malpighiales; Salicaceae.
AUGGAUUCAAUAUUAUAAAUGUCACUUUGAGUUACAAGGUGAGAUUUGCUUCUUCAUAAACAAAAACUCUAUCGUAAAUUAACUUAGAAAUUAAAAUAUCCUCUAAAUCUAUAUAUAUUUAGACAUCAUCUUUAGUCUUCGACGCUGUUCUUGCCAAGCAUAUCGCCACCAAACAUGUAUCUCUCCGGCGAGCAAGUAACUCCUGGCAAAAAGAAGUUAAUCUAGCCACUUCAGUGCUGUCGAAGCAACUGCAGCUUUAUUCAUUGUUUAAUCCCUUCCAGUCACUCCCAGUAACCAUCGCUUGUGAUAUUUCUAAAGAUAACCAAAUAGAUCCAAAGGCUAAAAUCAUAAUCAUUACAUGUUCUGUCGUUGGACUCUCUCAUAAUUUCGUGAUACACGCUGCCUCGUGGACACUGCAGUGGAUGGAUGGGAUUCUUCGUCGUUUUGAGGUCUUUCUCGAGGGUCCUGUCCUGUUCCGGGACGAGUCUUCAUGAGUUUUGUAUAGUCUCGAUUCUCAAUGCGGCUGUUCUAAUUGUUAAACUUUUCUUUGGAAAUUGAUUUGGAAAGAUUGGGUCUGCGUGUAAAUUAUUAAGUUAAUUCAAAUCAAC